GGAUUGCUCAGUUGGUUAGAGCAUGGUGCUAAUAACACCAAGGUUGCAAGUUCAAUCCCCAUAUGGGACA
RNAcentral lists this transfer RNA (70 nucleotides) under Podarcis lilfordi (Lilford's wall lizard). RNAcentral's name for it is "tRNA.Ile". Lineage: Eukaryota; Metazoa; Chordata; Lepidosauria; Squamata; Lacertidae. The record is from RNAcentral.